CUCAUCACAGUCUCGAUAUGAAACUGUGUCACAGUUUGGUCUGUUUCAUCUUCAUUCAAGCACUUCAGGAUGGAAACGCUGAUCUUGCUGCUGCUGAAAUUCCCAUCCAUGCAGAAAGGGAGGGAGGAAACAUCACAGUUGCCUGUUCAUUUUCUUUGUCUGGAAGCUUGAGGCUCUUCUGUAAGGAAAAAUGUGAACAAGGAAAAAUUCUCAUUGAAACAACAGAGGACACAGCUCAACGAGGCAGAUACAGCAUUGAAUAUAAAGAAGGAAGCUUUCUAGGAACUAAGACAAUUAUGUAUGCGAGCAUCACAAAGCUGGAAGUGUCUGACUCGGGAGUGUACAGGUGCUCUUUGGGCAGAAUGGGUGUAGAUUUUUUUGAUUCAAACUAUGAAUUUCAGAUCUCUGUCAAAGAAGCCUCCACACCAACAAUGAAGAUGACACCAGAGAGUUCAAACUCCACUGCUACAUCAUCCUCCACUGAAGCUUUCCAACACUUUCCCACCCAACCUGCAAGUUCAGAUCUGCUGCUAUACACGGGUCUGUUUGUGAUUGUCCUGAUCGCCUUCUUAUCAGCAGCUUUGCUGAUUUUCUGCAAGAAGAGAGCCACUAAACCCAUAAGACCUCCAGUAGAAAAUGUGUACUCCAGCAUCAUAGAUGACAACCAGCUGUAUGAAGAGAUCAGAGAGGAGACAUUUCCACAGGAGGUGGAAAUGUCUACAGUUUACACCACUGCCACACGCCCCCAGCCAGAUGGAGUUGAAAGCUCAGAUGACUAAAGCAUCGCCACUUAGAACUUAAAACGGUUUGCUAUGCUUUUCUGAUGGAUCUCUGUCACCCAGGUGCUCUCUAAGCGAAGUGCUCUGCCGUGUUCACAAAUGAAGAUAUGACGUACCACAGCAUCAACCCAGGGGACCGGAACGAAACCUACGCUACACUCACAGAGAUAUCAAAUCUAAAUUACAUAUUGUCUGUGUGUGCCAGCUCAUGCAUGCUUUAAAACAACUCUAAUGACAUGAUGAAUGAGAUGGAUAGGAAAGAUAUACUAAGGAAUAAAGCUAAAAGGAAACAUAUGAGUUAAAAUGGUUAAGUUGUUGUGAUAACUACUCACGAAUGAACCAGCUAAUGUAAAAUAUAGUAAUAUAAUUAUUAUUUGAGACUAUGAUGUUCAAAAAAAUCAAAGGAAAGGAAAUGAACUUAUAAACUUGUAUUAUAAACUUAUAAUUUAUCUAUGGACAUAUAGGAAGGACCAAAUAAAAAAUAUGUAACUAAAUCAAGUCAACAACAAAGGAAAUAAAAUUUGUUUUAUUCUAAAAGUAACUAAAAACACAUUUGUCUGCAUCUUAGUGCUCUAUGUAACAUUCACACUCCACUGACUGCAUCAGGAGCAACUUAAGGCUCAGUACUUUGCCCAAAGAUACUUCAGCAUGUAGUCAGCAUGACUGAAGAAGCUAGGAAUUGAACCACCAAACUCCCAAUUAUUAGAUAUUUGAUUAUUGCUCUACAUCCUGAGCUGCAGGCACCCAGAUGCUUCCAGGCAGAAGAAACUUAGCAAGAAACAAAUGUCAUCAUGAUUUAUUUGUGUGCAUGGCACCACAAGAGGGUGUUCACUAACUUUUCUUUGAUAUGCCAGGUGAUUUCAAAUGCAAUGUUUCCAGUAGGUUAACAAACACCACACACAAUUUCUUUCUGUGUGGUUUGGACCAUAGACCAUCUUUGUGCUAGUUAAAGGUCCAAAAAAAGUAAUAACUUUACUCUUAAAGGCAAAAUAUAUCAGAAAAAAGACACACAGGUGGGAAGAUGAGAGAUCGUCAACGGUAACAAAAGCUCAGCAAGUGACAUUUGAUGCUCUGGAAAUUUAAUGUAUUGUUCUGAAUUAAUUUAGAUUCUUUUCAACUUGACCACACAUGCUUUAUAUUAAGGUUUCUUUCAAACUGAGAAAUGUCUUUGAAAACAAAUUAAAAGAUAAUAAUGUCAUGAUGUUCAGAGUUUAUUGUGCAAUAUGUGCUAGUUGGGCUGGUUUGCAGAGGCAGGCUAUGUUGUACUGGUGAAUGACAGACUGCGAUAUCCACAAUCACUGCCAUGUUAGGUCCUGAUAGCAGAAAGAGACAUUAUAAAAGGAAGACAUGGCACUGAAAGAAUUCUGAAUUGGAAUUUGUGGUAGAUUUUUGUAACCAAAUAAAUGGUUGUAGAUACAAUACAAUUUAUACAGCACGUUUAAAACCAGGGGGUACACCAAAGUGCUUCACAGUAAGGAAUGACGGUAAAUGAUUACACUGGACAGUAAGUCAUUAAAACAAUUUCAGUGAAAACCUCAGUUACAUACAGUGGGGCAAAAAAGUAUUUAGUCAGCCACCGAUUGUGCAAGUUCCCCCACCUAAAAUGAUGACAGAGGUC
Haplochromis burtoni (Burton's mouthbrooder) is the source of this 2397-nucleotide RNA transcript. RefSeq lists it as uncharacterized. The transcript is spliced from 8 exons. The record is from RefSeq and is a predicted model, not a curated record. NCBI's taxonomy places the organism in Eukaryota, Metazoa, Chordata, Actinopteri, Cichliformes, Cichlidae.